GAAUCGAACUUGGGUUUCAUCGGCCACAACGAUGUGUACUGACCAC
This 46-nucleotide transfer RNA is filed under the name Debaryomyces hansenii var. hansenii. Its description in RNAcentral is "partial transfer RNA". Lineage: Eukaryota; Fungi; Ascomycota; Pichiomycetes; Serinales; Debaryomycetaceae. The record is from RNAcentral.